CACUGAUUGUGGGGGCUUGGCCGUCCCACCGGCUUUGGCCAACAGCCUGUGGGCAGAAGUGACAGAGGAUUGAAAUGCGCUUGGGAGCUGGACUUGGGCUCUGCACUCUUGAUUUGCUAAGAGCACAUUCCUGGCUGGUCUGUUGGCCAAAAAGGUGGAGACUCAAGGGGAAAAGCUGAACCCCACCUGGCGCAGGGAGCCAGCUCCAGCUGCGCUGAGGGUGACGUUUUGAGACACAGUGUCAUUUUCCUCAGCGUUAUUAUGGCAACGGCUGGAUUAGAGAUCGAACAAACCACUUCCUCAUCCAGAACGUGGGCCCUCCUACCAACCACAGCGUGUAAGGUGCCUGGGGCGUUCAGCAGGCCACGGACUCUGUGCUCACGUCCCCCCCAUCCAGGGCUCUACCCCUGGGGGACCUGAGCGUGCAAGCAGAGUUGGACACGGGGCCCAAUCCCAUGAUCCUGGGAUCAUGACCUGAGUUGGAAAACACAUUGGAUGCUAAAACGACCGAGCUGCCCUUAAGAUGAAAUUUGUGAAAGUUCAUCUUAGCCAGCAUUUUGGGAACUCAGUAGUGGGAGGUGCUUCAAAGCUGGUGGAAUCUGGGAGCCUCACAUGGGAGAGCAGCAGCCAAGGGCCUGGGGCUGAUCCCAGCACAUCUGCCCUCAGUGCUCACCAGAGGGCAGCGUGGAGUCGUGUGGAGCCCGGUCUCUGUUCCUGGCAAAGAUGAGGACCCCCUGAGCCCAGCCAUGAGCCGGCGCCCGACGCAGGAGCCCUCUGCACCCUGGCCAUGGAGCUGCUGACCCUGCCACCACCCCCCAGAGUGGAUGUAUCCGAGCCCCCCUGUCACGGAGAUGUGAACAUGGCUGCACACGCUCUUCCACUUGGUAGAGGUGAGCCUUCCCUCAGGGUG
Molecule: long non-coding RNA, 910 nt
Filed under: Suricata suricatta (meerkat)
Lineage: Eukaryota; Metazoa; Chordata; Mammalia; Carnivora; Herpestidae
Description: lncRNA (ENSSSUG00005004727.1)
Source: RNAcentral